RNAcentral lists this ribosomal RNA (505 nucleotides) under uncultured bacterium. RNAcentral's name for it is "partial 16S ribosomal RNA". It matches the Rfam family "Bacterial small subunit ribosomal RNA", at positions 30 to 523 of the family's 1533-position model. The record is from RNAcentral.
AUUGAACGCUGGCGGCAGGCCUAACACAUGCAAGUCGAACGGUAACAGGAAGAAGCUUGCUUCUUUGCUGACGAGUGGCGGACGGGUGAGUAAUGUCUGGAAACUGCCUGAUGGAGGGGGAUAACUACUGGAAACGGUAGCUAAUGCCGCAUAACGUCGCAAGACCAAAGAGGGGGACCUUCGGGCCUCUUGCCAUCGGAUGUGCCCAGAUGGGAUUAGCUAGUUGGUGGGGUAACGGCUCACCAAGGCGACGAUCCCUAGCUGGUCUGAGAGGAUGACCAGCCACACUGGAACUGAGACACGGUCCAGACUCCUACGGGAGGCAGCAGUGGGGAAUAUUGCACAAUGGGCGCAAGCCUGAUGCAGCCAUGCCGCGUGUAUGAAGAAGGCCUUCGGGUUGUAAAGUACUUUCAGCGGGGAGGAAGGGAGUAAAGUUAAUACCUUUGCUCAUUGACGUUACCCGCAGAAGAAGCACCGGCUAACUCCGUGCCAGCAGCCGCGGUAA